Molecule: ribosomal RNA, 672 nt
Filed under: uncultured marine eukaryote
Lineage: Eukaryota
Description: SSU rRNA
Rfam family: Eukaryotic small subunit ribosomal RNA
Source: RNAcentral
UUGCGGUUAAAAAGCUCGUAGUUGGAUCUCGGCGAGUAGAGGGCGGUAUGCUUCGUAGCAUUACUGCCCUAUUACUUGUAGUUUUGCCAGAGGUUCCUGGGUGCUCUUAAUCGAGUGUCUAGGGAUGCUGGCAGGUUUACUUUGAAAAAAUUAGAGUGCUCAAAGCAGGCUAUUACGCUUGAAUAUUCGUGCAUGGAAUAAUAGAAUAGGAAGUUGUUUCUAUUUUGUUGGUUUUCGGAAAUCGACUUAAUGAUUAAUAGGGACAGUCGGGGGCAUUUGUAUUCAAACGACAGAGGUGAAAUUCUUGGACCGUUUGAAGACAAACUACUGCGAAAGCAUUUGCCAAGAAUGUUUUCAUUAAUCAAGAACGAAAGUUAGAGGUUCGAAGGCGAUUAGAUACCGCCCUAGUUCUAACCAUAAACGAUGCCAGCUAGCGAUCUGAGGACGUUUUUUUUGUAGACUCCUCAGGAAGCUUCCGGGAAACCAAAGCGUGUGGGUUCCGGGGGAAGUAUGGUUGCAAAGCUGAAACUUAAAGGAAUUGACGGAAGGGCACCACCAGGAGUGGAGCCUGCGGCUUAAUUUGACUCAACACGGGAAAUCUCACCAGGCCCGGACACUGGAAGGAUUGACAGAUUGAGAGCUCUUUCUCGAUUCGGUGGGUGGUGGUGCAUG